GAGUGAAAUGAUGGCAUACCAUCUUUCGGGACUGACCCUUAAAUGGAGAUACCUUUUUGUAUAUUACUGAUCACUC
Hypomesus transpacificus is the source of this 76-nucleotide small nucleolar RNA. RefSeq annotates it as small nucleolar RNA SNORD2. The transcript has a single exon. NCBI's taxonomy places the organism in Eukaryota, Metazoa, Chordata, Actinopteri, Osmeriformes, Osmeridae. The record is from RefSeq and is a predicted model, not a curated record.